UGCCUCAGACAUGCAAGUCGAACGCGAAAGUCCCCUUCGGGGGAUAAGUAGAGUGGCGCACGGGUGAGUAACACGUAAGUAAUCUACCCUCGAGUGGGGAAUAACGUCCGGAAACGGACGCUAAUACCGCAUAAUGCAGCGGCACCGCAAGGUGACAGUUGUUAAAGGAGAAAUUCGCUUGAGGAGGAGCUUGCGGUAGAUUAGCUUGUUGGUAAGGUAACGGCUUACCAAGGCUACGAUCUGUAACCGGUCUUAGAGGACGGUCGGUCACACUGACACUGAAUAACGGGUCAGACUCCUACGGGAGGCAGCAGUCGGGAAUUUUGGGCAAUGGGCGAAAGCCUGACCCAGCAACGCCGCGUGAAGGAUGAAGUAUUUCGGUAUGUAAACUUC
This 393-nucleotide ribosomal RNA is filed under the name uncultured organism. RNAcentral's name for it is "bacterial SSU rRNA". It matches the Rfam family "Bacterial small subunit ribosomal RNA", at positions 45 to 433 of the family's 1533-position model. The record is from RNAcentral.